RNAcentral lists this ribosomal RNA (395 nucleotides) under uncultured bacterium. Its description in RNAcentral is "partial 16S ribosomal RNA". It matches the Rfam family "Bacterial small subunit ribosomal RNA", at positions 523 to 918 of the family's 1533-position model. The record is from RNAcentral.
AUACGUAGGGUGCAAGCGUUAAUCGGAAUUACUGGGCGUAAAGCGUGCGCAGGCGGUUUUGUAAGACAGUGGUGAAAUCCCCGGGCUCAACCUGGGGACUGUCAUUGUGACUGCAAGGUUGGAGUGCGGCAGAGGGGGGUGGAAUUCCGCGGGUAGCAGUGAAAUGCGUAGAUAUGCGGAGGAACACCGAUGGCGAAGGCAAUCCCCUGGGCCUGCACUGACGCUCAUGCACGAAAGCGUGGGGAGCAAACAGGAUUAGAUACCCUGGUAGUCCACGCCCUAAACGAUGUCAACUGGUUGUUGGGGAUUUAUUUUCUCAGUAACGAAGCUAACGCGUGAAGUUGACCGCCUGGGGAGUACGGCCGCAAGGUUAAAACUCAAAUGAAUUGACGGGG